RNAcentral lists this ribosomal RNA (468 nucleotides) under uncultured bacterium. RNAcentral describes it as "partial 16S ribosomal RNA". It matches the Rfam family "Bacterial small subunit ribosomal RNA", at positions 28 to 507 of the family's 1533-position model. The record is from RNAcentral.
GACGAACGCUGGCGGCGUGCUUAGCACAUGCAAGUCGAACGGAAAGGCCCUGCUUUUGUGGGGUGCUCGAGUGGCGAACGGGUGAGUAACACGUGAGUAACCUGCCCUUGACUUUGGGAUAACUUCAGGAAACUGGGGCUAAUACCGGAUAGGAGCUCCUGCUGCAUGGUGGGGGUUGGAAAGUUUCGGCGGUUGGGGAUGGACUCGCGGCUUAUCAGCUUGUUGGUGGGGUAGUGGCUUACCAAGGCUUUGACGGGUAGCCGGCCUGAGAGGGUGACCGGCCACAUGGGGACUGAGAGACGGCCCAGACUCCUACGGGAGGCAGCAGUGGGGAAUAUGGCACAAUGGGCGGAAGCCUGAUGCAGCAACGCCGCGUGCGGGAUGACGGCCUUCGGGUUGUAAACCGCUUUCGCCUGUGACGAAGCGUGAGUGACGGUAAUGGGUAAAGAAGCACCGGCUAACUACGUG